RNAcentral lists this non-coding RNA (23 nucleotides) under Cricetulus griseus (Chinese hamster). Lineage: Eukaryota; Metazoa; Chordata; Mammalia; Rodentia; Cricetidae. The record is from RNAcentral.
UCUCACUACUGCACUUGACUAGU